UUUUUGCCAAUGAUGGUAUUAAAUAUACUUUGAGAGAGGUUUUCUCUUUGAAAAAUAUCAAAUCUGAGGCAUAAA
This 75-nucleotide small nucleolar RNA is filed under the name Theobroma cacao (cacao). The record is from RNAcentral. Lineage: Eukaryota; Viridiplantae; Streptophyta; Magnoliopsida; Malvales; Malvaceae.